RNAcentral lists this unclassified non-coding RNA (4460 nucleotides) under Lytechinus variegatus (green sea urchin). Its description in RNAcentral is "probable 3',5'-cyclic phosphodiesterase pde-5, transcript variant X1". The record is from RNAcentral. Lineage: Eukaryota; Metazoa; Echinodermata; Echinoidea; Temnopleuroida; Toxopneustidae.
UAACAUAGUAGGUCCAUGCUUUGAGUACCCUCUCAUCAUCUCUCAUGCACUCACCCUCUUUUUCCCUCUCUCCCCAUCUCGCCAGCUCCAUCCGCCAAGCCCCCAACCACCACUGUAUGAAUUCCUCCCUCCCUCCGUCGUCGUAUCAUUAUACAGAAUUAACAGGUCGGAGCUCGUAUCACGGCAACGGCGUGCCGUGUUGAUUGCUCUGGGGAUCUCUAUCCCAUUAAAAAUUGCCCCGUCCAUUGGUGUGCAGGGCUUCUCUCUCAGUUCAAUUCUCUUUUCCCGUCUUCUAUCCGCCGGUCAUCGUGACGUGCGCGCAGGCAUGGAUGGAUAGCCAGCCAGUUCACUCUGCGUGUGAUCUUGCCACGGAUAGCUCAUAACCAUCUCAUAAUAUCUCUCUUAAUCAGACUUACCAUUUAACGACGAUCUCCGUGUGCAUCCACGAAUGUCUCUCGAAGACUUGGGUCUUUGAUCAUCGUUUAUUAUUAUCUCUCUGCAUUGUUUACUGUUACUGCGUAUGGUUCAGUGAUACACUAGGAUAUUUGUUUUGAGUAAGACUCCUCCAACAGAUUAAAUUCUACCUGGAAUUCAGCUGUCAUACCAAGCCUUAGGCGAUCGCUGACAUACUUUGAGAGGGUGCACUGAAAGCCCUCAUCGUGUGGUAUCCAUCAAACAUGAGAUGAAAGACACGGCAAAGCCCUGUAACUCGAUUAUCCAUACUAGAUCACUGUAAACACACACCCCACUCAUUAUCUACCAUCUUGAACUUGCAUCAGUCGACACCUUUUAGACAAGAAGAUCCCACGGUUAAUUAGGCUUGUUGUUGGAGCUAUCAAGACGCAGCAGCCUGCUUGUUUUCGUGCUGCUCCUGAUGGUGACUGAAUUAUCGCCCAUACCGCAAUUGAUUUCUGGAUGAGUGGCUGCGCCUUGCUUCUGUCUCGUUGCAUGCUUGGAUGAUCCUGUGAAGCAGUCACAUGCUGGAUUGAUAUGUGGGGCAAUUUGUUUGGUGUGGAGUAGCUCUGGACCAGCUGAGCCGUCGAUGAGAAGUGUUGAGAGGCACGAUCAUCGCUAAAGGAACGAAAAAGCAAGUUAAUCGAGCGUAAGCUUCGAUCAAUAUGACAUGAAUUUAGAGCUGGUAGAAGCAAGGUGAGUUGCGUCAUCGUACCAAGUGAAUAUCAUCUCCAUGAUGGAAUCGCUGGGAUUAGCGCCUGUGGUUUUAUAAAUACCUGUCCUUCGACCUGAUAUUCCUGGCAUCCUUUACCUUUGUCAUUCAUGUGCAUACGAUCCUGAUCCUAAAUGAAGCAUUAAAUGGGUUUUUGAUGAGGAAAGGAACGCACUUCUUCAGAGAGUACAUGUUUUAAUCUUCAAGAACAUAAACAAUGUGAAUAAUUGCUGCAAAAGGAAACAAUACAGUUAGGACUUCAUGAAGUGGCUCUGUUCCAGGGGGGUUGUAAUUUGUACCUAGGUGUCACUGUCAACCUGAAAUGAAUGUCUCUGACAAAGAGAACAGCGCGUGGCAACCCCUCCGACUCCAAGCACAAACGCCACUACCCGUUCUUGGCGCACAGCUCCCGUCACCCCAGCAACGCCUACUACACACCCCUCCAAGGGGCCGGUGAUCUCCGCUUCUACCCCCCGCCCGGCUCCACCAACCCGACCCAGCUUCGCCAGCACCACCAUCCGACGAAGAACAAGAUGUCCAAUGCUUCGCGGCAGGUUGGUAAUCGCAGGCUCCCGCCCCUGCCGGCACCGGGUCAGAACAGACGUAACCAGCCCACCAGCCCCCAUGGUGCAGGGAAGAGUAGCGUUGGUGGGUCAUCUACCUACCAUGGUAGCCAAACAUCAAGCGCCAGAAGCAGAGGAGGAAGUAGUACCUCAAGUUAUUCUGGUGUACGUGUCAGCGUCAGCUAUGAUAUGAUCGUCAAAGGUUUGUCAACAUACGGAAAUGGAUAUGCCAAAAAUAAUAAUAGAAUCAGCCAAUCACAGGCGACAUCAGACCAGAUAGGCCAUAUACCAGAAAAUAUUGUGCAAGAGCACAUCCGGCACUACCUGGACGAAAACCCGCAAUUCCUGGAGGACUACAUCCUCAACCACACCAGCGCUGAACAGGUGGAAAAAUGGCUGAACAGCAUUCGCAGGAAACCCGCACCGAGGAGUGCCGGACGUAGCCCCGGACACCAGACACAGGCCCUGAAGCGGCCCCUGUUGCAGAGCUCAACUUCAACCAUCGGUAUCCCUGGGCCACAUAAUUCAAAGCUCGAAGGAACGUUUACAGGGGAAACGAUACGAGCUUCACAUGCCAAUGCAAGACAGUGGAAGAGUUCAGCGUUUCAGGAGAGGAGAAAACAGAUGUAUGAUCUAGCCAUCGAUAUUCAGACCUACAAUCAUAGAUUAGGUCUCAUCAAUGAACUAGCUAUAUGUAUUGAAGAAAGAAUUCAUGCUGAUGGAUACACUCUUUAUGCUGUUACAGGAAACGGCUCGGAGUUGUUUGAAUACAAGGGCAAUGAAAAGAGUGAGCCUGGGCAGAGACCGACAUGGGCGGUGGCCAAAGGUCAAACCAUCAGUGGCUAUGUGGCCUACUCUGGUCAAGUGGUCAACACAAAAGACCCAACAGGGAAUGAACUUCAUCCCCACGGUGUAGCAGCACAAAGUGUAACAGCCCAUGCUGUAUUGGCUCUUCCAGUUAUCGAGCUUACAGACGAACUUUCAGGAUCCGAAUGUGAGCACCAUAAUCAAGUGGCGGGCGUGUUGGAGUUUUACCGUUCUGAUGCCAAAGCAUUCUCAACAGAGGAUGAGAUGCACGCUGACUCGUAUUUAUUAUGGGGGACGCUAACCGUGCAUUAUGCACAGUUUGGAAAUGACAAGGACUUUGACAAAAAGCUGUACGUUGACAUGAUUAGACAACGGAAACAGAAUGAUUUCCUGCUUGCUGUUACAAAAUCAAUCUUCACAGAUAUUGUCAGUAUGGACAGUGUAAUCAUGAAAAUCAUGAACUUUGCUCAGAAAUUAGUAAAUGCAGACAGGGCUUCACUGUUCCUGGUGGACAGCAAGAAGAAUGAACUGUACGCUAGGAUCUUUGACAUCGGUAAUGGUCUCGGUAACCCCAUGGAUGACAAAGACCAAAAAGAGAUCAGGUUCUCAAUGGCAAAAGGAGUUGCUGGUCAUGUGGCUUCUACAGGGGACAUCCUCAAUAUUCCUGAUGCAUAUCAAGAUGAGAGAUUUAACAGAGAGGUCGAUCUUCAAACUGGUUACGUCACCAAGACCAUCCUGUGUAUGCCUAUCUACAUCAGAGGAAAUGUAAUAGGCGUUGUUCAGAUGGUGAAUAAGAAGAACGGGCUGUUCACUCGGGCAGAUGAACAAGCGUUCGAGACGUUUGCAGUCUAUUGUGGUCUGGCGUUACAUCAUGCAAAGCUGUAUGACAAGAUCCGACGGUCAGAGCAGAAACAUAAGGUCGCUCUAGAAGUUCUCAGCUACCAUGCGAUGUGCAUGGAUAACGAGUUCAAAGGUCUCAGGAACAUGCCUCUCCCUGACCCCAUGCCUGACAUAGCAAGAUAUGACUUUUCUCCAUGGGGAUUAGAAGAGGAAGCUAAGCCGCUGUAUGUGCUAUGUAUGUUCAAGGAUAUGUUUGAUCUCAACAAUCCACCACCAGGUCAUCCUGAUCAUCAACAAAGGUUUGACUAUGAUGAGCUCUGUCGAUUCAUCUUAACCGUUCGGAAGAACUACCGUAGAGUGCCCUACCAUAACUGGACCCAUGCCUUCUCAGUUGCUCACAGUGUCUAUACUAUGAUCAAGACUGGCAACGGCCAAGUCUUCAAUCCAUUAGAGGCCUUGGCUCUGUUUGUCGCCUGCCUAUGUCAUGACCUUGAUCAUCGGGGCAAGAACAAUGCCUUCAUGGUGAACACUGCAUCACCUUUAGCUUCGGUCUACUCCACCUCAACGAUGGAACACCAUCACUUCAACAUGACCAUAACGAUACUCCAGAAUGAUGGCCACAAUAUCUUCAAGCACUUAUCGUCAGAAGAAUACAAGCAAGUCUUGGGUGACAUCAGACAUGCCAUCCUAGCUACGGACCUGGCUCUCUUCUUCCCAAACAAAGCCAAACUCAAGAAGAUUGUUGAAGAGAAGAAGUUCUCUUGGGACAACCAAGAACACAGACAAUGCGUCAAGGCAUUGUCAAUGACGGCAUGUGAUUUAGCCGCCAACACGAAACCAUGGCAUAUUCAACAACAGACAGUAAAGGUGAUCUUCGAUGAGUUCUACCAACAGAAGUCUGUGCCGUGCUAUAGCCAUGACAGCAUGUGACCUGGUGGCGGUAGUCAAGCCAUUUGAUCUACAGCAGAAGGUUGCACUUGAAAUCUUCGAGGAAUUUUACCAGCAGGGUGAUGAGGAGAAAGCGGCAGGUAGGAACCCUAUUCCUAUGAUGGACAGAGACAGAGCUCAUGAACUUCCAGCUAAUC